GAACGAACUAUAAAAAUCAGUUGAAAAGGCUUAACUCAUCAGAUGGACAAAAAUACAAGUGGACGUGGCCCGGUGCUUGUACAUCAGGACACAAAAAGACACAAUGAACAGAUCUGAGAGUACUCGCAGUUAUCUGACAGCUAGUUCAAAGCCACUAACAACUAAUAAAAAAAAUCAUGCAACAAAGAGUAAACUAUCAAUCCGUACUCAUCCAACA
RNAcentral lists this long non-coding RNA (217 nucleotides) under Mytilus galloprovincialis (Mediterranean mussel). Lineage: Eukaryota; Metazoa; Mollusca; Bivalvia; Mytilida; Mytilidae. The record is from RNAcentral.